Molecule: long non-coding RNA, 731 nt
Filed under: Rattus norvegicus (Norway rat)
Lineage: Eukaryota; Metazoa; Chordata; Mammalia; Rodentia; Muridae
Description: long non-coding RNA NONRATT031263
Source: RNAcentral
GGCUGGAGGCUCGCAGACUCUGAAAAGAGACAAAGAGAAGAAGAAUUUGGGCUUCCUGUAGACGCGCUCUUUCCUGUGCAACAGAGCUGGGCCUCCCUCUCUUUAUUUCCCCCUUAACAUGCUUAGGGGGCAUACACCCCAUGCCUUCCCCUUUUCUUCCUGCGAAUGUUUAUAGAAGCCUGAGAGUCAAAUGACGAUGUCUGGCCCCUGACCAAGAAGCCAACAAUCACGUGGCUUGGAGAUACAUUCCAUACCUCAGUCCCUCUCCUAGUACCCUCAGCCAUAUGCACCCCCACUUCCCCAAUCUAUCUUCGCCAGACUGUCAUGUGUUUACGGGUUGCUGUUUGCCACAUUUUAUGUACUCCAUUUGAAUUCCACUGAUACUUGUUUCCUUGAAGUAUUUCCAGCCACUGACUGGAUAAGACUCCUGCAUCCUUGUCACUGGGAUUGUUCUCCCACUCCUAAUGCCAGGAGCAUAGCCCCUCAUCACAGGUUCUAAAAGAAUUGCUGGAGAUGCCUAUUUCUUCUACUAUCUUAGCCCAGCCCUUUCUCGAUUCCAUUUCCUCGGAAUCACUUUGCACAAGCUAUGUUAAAAGUCAGCCACACAUUUAUUUACACCAAGCCCUUCCUAUACAAAAUACAACUGCUGGGGCAGACAGUCUAUACUCCCCCUCUGUAAUUCUGGGUACCUCACAGAUACAGAAGGGACAAUAAACCAGAAUGUCAUUACC